Molecule: long non-coding RNA, 3098 nt
Organism: Zea mays
Lineage: Eukaryota; Viridiplantae; Streptophyta; Magnoliopsida; Poales; Poaceae
Exons: 9
Source: RefSeq, a predicted model, not a curated record
CAUCGUGCGCGCCUGGUCGCGUCAGGUCAGUGACAGUGCCGUGCGCCCCCCAUCGCCCCAUCACGCUCACGCCACAGCGCAAGCUAGGGCUGCUCUGCUCCCCCGUGCCCGGUCCGCGUCGCUUGCUUCCGGCCCCCGUCUCUCCUUCGAAACAGGCCAUCGCCGUCGCCGUCGCCGGAAUUCAACUCGGAACAGCCUUCCCCCCCGGCCCCACCCGGCGGCCGGAAUUCAACCCCGAACAGCCGUCCUGCUGCCGCCCGCAGCGGUAGCUAUAAGCUGGAUGGUUCUUUCUUUCUUUCUUUCUUUUUCUUGCAGCGGAUCGCGCGGCAAGAUUGCGGGUCGUCGUCGGGCGCGGGCCGGACGACGACGCCUGUGCUGGGAAAGUGUGGCGCAGCUGGGUGCACGGGAGCAGCACGCCACGCCGUCUACGUGUAGACCGCGCGCGCAGCAGCUCGUUAAUUACGUGCGCGCGGCGCUAGCUAGCUGCCUAGCUCUCGUCGACCACGACCGCCACCGUGUCCGUGUCCGUGUGCGCCUGUCACCCCCCCUCUGUCACUCAGCGUGUACUAGUAUUCUGGGAGAAGUGUGUCUCACUUUGCACGAGUUCGGGGGAGCCCAGCCCAAGCAGGCGCCGCCGACGACCGCGGGGGCGGAAGACGAGUCCGCGUCCCGCGCGCUGUCGCGCUCGCAUGCGAGCUGACGACGGCCAGCCACAUCACGAGAGCGCGGUGGCGGACAAAGAUGCGGUUUUUUAAGAAUCCCGGAAACUAAUAAACUGACUGCGGCGGCCCGCAGUUCCGUGUAAAGCUUAAGAACAGACAGAGGUGGGCGGUGUUGUUGCUUCCGUCGUCGGUGUUGGUGUUGCUCGUGCCGCGCAUCGAGUCAAGGUGUGCCGUGGACGAGAGGAUGCCGGUCGCCGCGAAAAGGAUACUGCGGCUGAGGGCACAGCAGAGAGAAAGACUGCAAGACCGAUGCGAGAGAAGGUUUCAAAUUCUUCAUCGAAACCACCUGUCCAUAUGACUGGUAGUGGUAGGCCUAAUGCUCCUCCAUACCGUCUUCCAGUUCUUCCAAUGGACGAUGAUGAAAUCUCAUCCAAAGUUCUUCUAGCAGUUGAACUUUGCUAAUUGAAGCUGCAAAAGGAACUUCGAUAGAUCAGCAUUACGAGGCACAGCAGUGAAAGCCCCAUGUUUACCUUUUCCACGGUGAGUAUGUAGUGACUAUGUGAUCUCUCUUAUGCAUUUAUGCAUUUAAUUUGACUGAAUGCUUCUAUGAAAAGAACAUUUGGAUGGGCUAAAGCAUGCUGAAGUAGUUUGCAUGGUGUUUACAAUUACAUACUAGAUCAUUAGCCAUUACCAUGUGAUGCAUGCUAAAACUUUGAUGAUAAGUAGAUACCCCCACUAUGAUCUCAAACAUGUUCAGUUCAGCACGCCGGAACAGAAAGCACGCCACAGUGGUCCUUGUCAAAUUCGACGCCUUCUGCCAACAGAGUCAAACAAGACUGCAUGCUUACUCCUCUUGGCGAACCUCCUUCACCAAGAGCUGCACAUGUAGCAACUGCUGUUGAACCAUGGUGGUCAUUCAGGGUGGAAUUGGUCCAGCUGGCUUAUCCGCUGAGGACCUUCAUGUUCUUGAUCUUAAACAACAACGACCGCGAUGGCAUAGAGUGGUGGUUCAAGGUCCUGGUCCAUGGUAUGGAUAUGUGAUGGCCUUGGUUGGUCAACGAUUCUUAUUGACAAUUGGUGGCAAUGAUGGAAAACGACCCCCGGCAGAUGUAUGGGCCCUUGAUACUGCGGCCAAGCCAUAUGAAUGGAGAAAACUUGAACCGGAAGGUGAAGGGCCACCACCAUGCAUGUAAGUGCCCCAGUAAUACUGAGGAAACUUUACUCCUUUUAGAUUCUACUUAAAUCAUUGAGCUUAAGAGUAACUCCAAGAGUUUCUAUAUCCUUAUUGAUAGAAAUAGAGAUUUUGGUCCUCCAACAGCUUCUUUAACUAGAUGUCCAAAUAUUGCUAUCCUCUAUUUUAGAUUUCUGGCUAGGCAAAGAUGCAGAGCUAUAUUGACUCUAGAGUGUGCACAAGAUAUAGAAAAACUGUUGGAAGAUGAAAAUAUAUAGAGAGGGAUUUUUUCUCCAAAUGAUGAUUUAGAGAGUGAGUUUAAAGAAGACUCUUGGAGAUGCCUUCAGUUUCGUGGCUUGAUGAUGCUGCAUACAUUAAUGAGCUGCUUUUGAUUCACAUUAAAUUGCUUCAUAAUUUCUAAUAAAGCUCCCAGUGCUUCAUAAUUUGUAAUAAACCUCUGGGGAGAUGGAGACGGAGGUGAGUGCGGCGCGGGACGUUAUGGCCAUGAAGGAUCACAUAGAUCUCGAGGCCUCGCAGUCGCAGUAGCCCAGGAAGCUGCCGCCAAGGACCUCAAGGAGAUCGCCGGGAGCUUCUGGCUUGCCGCCUCAAUGUUCAGCAAGAAGUGGCAGAAGUGGAGGGGCAAGCAGAAGCUCAAGAAGCAGGAGGCCGUCUCAAUUUGAAGUCUACUAACAUAUCCUUGCACAUAGAAAUUGUAUGAUACACCUGGAGUCCACCUUCACCAUAGAACAUGUGUCUGAUUGAAUUCUACACCAGUUCUUGGAAGAGAAAGCCUCACCAAGUCAUCAUCUCCAGGAACGAUGUUAGUGAAAGUCAAUUUAAUCUGGUGCUGAACAUUGAGUUGCAACAAAUUAUCGAUGGAGACUGAGUCACCGCAGCUAGAAACCACUGUCUCAAGGUGAUGAACAUUGAGUUGCAACAAAUCAUCAAUGGAGACCAAGUCACUACAGUCAGAAACCACUGUCUCAAUUUUAGGAGAUUUUCCAUCUAUGUUUGUUAGAAGGUAUAAUGCCUAUUUAUCUCUUGUAUUCGAACAUUUGGCAAUUAAGAAAUAGAAGAUUACUUCCCCAAUAUCCUUUCUUCCUAAUAUCACCUUUUACGGCUUCUGGGGAACAAUCACUUGGUAUUACCGACUGACAUGUCCAUUCAUAUGUGAGAUAUUGGGUUGAUAUAUAUGUUGUUCAUUUCCAUGUAAUUGUUGUGCACUAAUAUUUAUCGAAUAAUUUAUACACCGUCGCAACGCACGG